Equus caballus (horse) is the source of this 835-nucleotide non-coding RNA. The record is from RefSeq and is a predicted model, not a curated record. NCBI's taxonomy places the organism in Eukaryota, Metazoa, Chordata, Mammalia, Perissodactyla, Equidae.
ACCCAAGCAUCCCUCCUCUGUCCUGCAUCGUCUUCUGGGAUUCUAUCCAGGAAUCACGGGGGCUUCUUGAACCCUGGGACCCACACCCACCACAGGUUCUCUUCUCUCUGACAACAAACCCCAGGCCUUGUCCUAAUGGCUGCAGCCCACAGGCUCUGAACUCAGAUCCUUUUCUUCACUUGAGGGAGACGUGUCAUUCCCAGAGCUGGGCACACAGAGUGUCAGCCUUGGAGGAAAUGCCUCCCUGGCCAGUGGCUGGUGGAAGAGCGCCGUGACGGAGUAGGAUUUGGGGAGAGUCCUCCAGGUGUGGUCAGAAGGGGCCCAGCCAGGGCAUUUGUCAGCAAGGUCUGGUUGGUGGACCUUGGUGGCAAAAGAGUGGUGGGGGCAGCAUGUUUUAGAGGUCCUGGCAUGAGACAAUCCACAGGAUGGUCAUGAAGUCAGAAUCAGCCUAAUGAGGUCCAGCUCAAUUCACUGUCAUCUGUUCCCUGACUGGCUCACUAAUCCAGGAGUGAUUUACAAGGGCGAUAUUCAUGUUCUACCAUCUUUUCGUUGAUUGGCAGGAGCUAGUAUUCUUUACAAAACUUGUGUAUUUUUACAUAGGAAAGGAUAGGUGAGUUCUGUAACAACCCUUCUUGCAAAGUUCUCGCUAACGUAUUGAGUCUCUAACAGAAUCCACCGCUGGGAACUUCACAAAAGAUCCUGACCUUUACUCUCUGGUUUUAGAUCUUCCUGAUUGGUAAAUUUUCUUGACUCCUGGCUCCUUUCCUGAGGUUCGUCCACUUAGAACAAUGUAGGACUGCAACCUCUUGCCACUUGAGAAUGGAAUGCUCGGGUG